Molecule: unclassified non-coding RNA, 774 nt
Filed under: Hevea brasiliensis (rubber tree)
Lineage: Eukaryota; Viridiplantae; Streptophyta; Magnoliopsida; Malpighiales; Euphorbiaceae
Source: RNAcentral
AAUUGACACCAUUGAUCUAAAAGUUGUUGGAAGCCAAGGAGUUACACCCCUAAGUUUGAGUUUGCCUUUUGUAAUAAUAAUAAUGUUGAUGUUUUUAUUUUUGAUGUUGAUGACAAUAAGGCUCUAUAUGCUUAAUAUUCGUGGCUACUUUAUUUUCUGGUAGCACUUUUGUUGGGAACCUCUUUGAUGUAGGCUUUGGCCGUAGGAUGUUUCCUUGCACUCUCCUUGGUUGUUUUGUUGCUCCCGAUUUGGCCCUGCUUUGGUCUUCACCACCAUAGUCAUCUAGAGACUACUACUGUUUGAGUUCUGCAUCUGGAUCUCUAGUUUGAAGUAGCUUUUUCAAGUCUUGGUUGGAGAUGUUGUUAGCCCCUGAUUAAACAACUGCACCUCUCUUUCUCAAUGCUUGGUGGUCUCUUCUUGCCUCAUAUGAGUUUCAGUUUGCCAGAAUCAAUGGUUGAGGAGGUUUUCUCAGUAAUGGAGUCACUGGUUCUUCUUUCGGUGAUGGAGAUGCGGUGGAAGCUACAAGCAGCAGCUAGGGCAUCCCUUGGUGAUUGAAAGAGUGAUGACCCGAUUCUUGCUCUUGGUUUAGAUUGGGCAUUUUGGAUUUCCUAUCUGUUGGGUUUUGAUUAGUUAGGCUUAGGUCUGCUUUUAAUGCUUGUGAUUUGUGUUUAAUUAGGGGCUUUUUUAUAUUUAUGAUUGUGGGCAUAGUGUUAUUUUGUUAAUAUUGUAUUAUUAUAGCCUAUCCGGAUCAAUGAAUUAUCAUCUAUCUAUUGA